RNAcentral lists this ribosomal RNA (253 nucleotides) under uncultured prokaryote. RNAcentral describes it as "partial 16S ribosomal RNA". It matches the Rfam family "Bacterial small subunit ribosomal RNA", at positions 524 to 776 of the family's 1533-position model. The record is from RNAcentral.
UACGGAGGGGACGAGCGUUGUCCGAAGUUACUGGGCGUAAAGCGCGCGUAGGCGGGGAGGUAAGUCCGCUGUGAAAGCCCGGAGCUCAACUCCGGAGGGUCGGUGGAUACUGCUUCUCUUGAAGGGGCUCGGGGGAGAUGGAAUUACCGGUGUAGCGGUGAAAUGCGUAGAUAUCGGUAGGAACACCAGUGGCGAAGGCGGUCUCCUGGGGCUCACUUGACGCUGAGGCGCGAAAGCCAGGGGAGCAAACGGG